This 458-nucleotide non-coding RNA is filed under the name Brevibacillus borstelensis AK1. Its description in RNAcentral is "Bacterial large subunit ribosomal RNA". It matches the Rfam family "Bacterial large subunit ribosomal RNA", at positions 2469 to 2925 of the family's 2925-position model. The record is from Rfam by way of RNAcentral. Lineage: Bacteria; Bacillati; Bacillota; Bacilli; Caryophanales; Paenibacillaceae.
UGGGGAUAACAGGCUUAUCUCCCCCAAGAGUCCACAUCGACGGGGAGGUUUGGCACCUCGAUGUCGGCUCAUCGCAUCCUGGGGCUGAAGUAGGUCCCAAGGGUUGGGCUGUUCGCCCAUUAAAGCGGUACGCGAGCUGGGUUCAGAACGUCGUGAGACAGUUCGGUCCCUAUCUGUCGCGGGCGCAGGAAGUUUGAGGAGAGCUGUCCUUAGUACGAGAGGACCGGGAUGGACGCACCGCUGGUGCACCAGUUGUCACGCCAGUGGCACAGCUGGGUAGCUAUGUGCGGAAGGGAUAAGCGCUGAAAGCAUCUAAGCGUGAAGCCCCCUCCAAGAUGAGACUUCCCACAGCGUUAAGCUGGUAAGACCCCUCAUAGACGAUGAGGUUGAUAGGUUCGGUGUGGAAGCGCGGCAACGCGUGGAGCUGACGAAUACUAAUCGGUCGAGGACUUAUCCAC